GACGAACGCUGGCGGCGUGCUUAACACAUGCAAGUCGAACGGAAAGGCCCUGCUUUUGUGGGGUGCUCGAGUGGCGAACGGGUGAGUAACACGUGAGUAACGUGCCCUUGACUUUGGGAUAACUUCAGGAAACUGGGGCUAAUACCGGAUAGGAGCUCCUGCUGCAUGGUGGGGGGUGGAAAGUUUCGGCGGUUGGGGAUGGACUCGCGGCUUAUCAGCUUGUUGGUGGGGUAGUGGCUUACCAAGGCUUUGACGGGUAGCCGGCAUGAGAGGGUGACCGGCCACAUUGGGACUGCGAUACGGCCCAGACUCCUACGGGAGGCAGCAGUGGGGAAUAUUGCACAAUGGGCGGAAGCCUGAUGCAGCGACCCCGCGUGCGGAAUGACGGCCUUCGGGUUGUAAACCGCUUUCGCCUGUGACGAAGCGUUAGUGACGGUAAUGAGUAAAGAAGCACCGGCUAACUACGUG
This 468-nucleotide ribosomal RNA is filed under the name uncultured bacterium. Its description in RNAcentral is "partial 16S ribosomal RNA". It matches the Rfam family "Bacterial small subunit ribosomal RNA", at positions 28 to 507 of the family's 1533-position model. The record is from RNAcentral.